UACGGAAGGCAGCAGUGGGGAAUAUUGCACAAUGGACGCAAGCCUGAUGCAGCCAUGCCGCGUGUAUGAAGAAGGCCUUCGGGUUGUAAAGUACUUUUCAGCGGGGAGGAAGGCGGUGGAGUUAAUAGCUUCACCGAUUGACGUUACCCGCAGAAGAAGCACCGGCUAACUCCGUGCCAGCAGCCGCGGUAAUACGGAGGGUGCAAGCGUUAAUCGGAAUUACUGGGCGUAAAGCGCACGCAGGCGGUCUGUCAAGUCGGAUGUGAAAUCCCCGGGCUUAACCUGGGAACUGCAUUCGAAACUGGCAGGCUAGAGUCUGUAGAGGGGGUAGAAUUCCAGGUGUAGCGGUGAAAUGCGUAGAGAUCUGGAGGAAUACCGGUGGCGAAGGCGGCCCCUGGGACAAAGCUGACGCUCAGGUGCGAAAGCGUGGGGAGCAAACAGGAUUAGGAUACC
RNAcentral lists this ribosomal RNA (453 nucleotides) under uncultured bacterium. Its description in RNAcentral is "bacterial SSU rRNA". It matches the Rfam family "Bacterial small subunit ribosomal RNA", at positions 340 to 786 of the family's 1533-position model. The record is from RNAcentral.